Molecule: transfer RNA, 75 nt
Filed under: uncultured phage cr111_1
Lineage: Duplodnaviria; Heunggongvirae; Uroviricota; Caudoviricetes; Crassvirales; Steigviridae
Description: crAssphage cr111_1 tRNA-Arg
Rfam family: tRNA
About the family: Transfer RNA (tRNA) molecules are approximately 80 nucleotides in length.
Source: RNAcentral
GGUUCCUUAGCUCAGUUGGAUAGAGCAACAGCCUUCUAAGCUGUCGGUCAUAGGUUCGAAUCCUAUAGGAAUCAC